Molecule: long non-coding RNA, 538 nt
Organism: Alosa sapidissima (American shad)
Lineage: Eukaryota; Metazoa; Chordata; Actinopteri; Clupeiformes; Clupeidae
Exons: 5
Source: RefSeq, a predicted model, not a curated record
AAAUAAAAGUGACUUGACUGAUUUCAGUACAUAAAGCUGAACAAGAGCUCCUGAGCUGCUGAAUCUCUUCAGACAGUUGCCAAGGUAUCCUGGCAUCACCAUGAGGAAGCUUCCACUUAUCACCCUCCUCCUGGCCGCUCUAGCCUUUAGUGCAAAGGGUGUCCGUGCUCCAAGACAAGCGAACCCCAUUAUUAGCGACCUGUGGUUUCUGUAUGAUCAGGCCAUGGAGGAGAUUGGCAAGGCAGUUGGAGAAGAACAGCUACUUUCUGUACUAAAAUCGACAGCUGAAAUGGCCACCAAUGUGAGGCAUGCAGCAACCAAGCUCAUAGACUCCAUCAUCAGCAAAGCCUAGAGUUACUACCAAGCCAGAGCAUAUGGAUUUCUCUGGUCCUCUGUGAUGCCUCUGGUAUCCUUUGUUGUGUCAAGAACUGCACGUAAUUUGACCUGUAGGAUCACUAUGACACCUUCUGAAUGCAUGCCAAGUUUUGAAUUCCAUUCAUGGGAGGCCAUACAAUAAAUUCAUUUAUUUGUACAUUUA